CGCGUUAAGUCGACCGCCUGGGGAGUACGGCCGCAAGGUUAAAACUCAAAUGAAUUGACGGGGGCCCGCACAAGCGGUGGAGCAUGUGGUUUAAUUCGAUGCAACGCGAAGAACCUUACCUGGUCUUGACAUCCACGGAAGUUUUCAGAGAUGAGAAUGUGCCUUCGGGAACCGUGAGACAGGUGCUGCAUGGCUGUCGUCAGCUCGUGUUGUGAAAUGUUGGGUUAAGUCCCGCAACGAGCGCAACCCUUAUCCUUUGUUGCCAGCGGUCCGGCCGGGAACUCAAAGGAGACUGCCAGUGAUAAACUGGAGGAAGGUGGGGAUGACGUCAAGUCAUCAUGGCCCUUACGACCAGGGCUACACACGUGCUACAAUGGCGCAUACAAAGAGAAGCGACCUCGCGAGAGCAAGCGGACCUCAUAAAGUGCGUCGUAGUCCGGAUUGGAGUCUGCAACUCGACUCCAUGAAGUCGGAAUCGCUAGUAAUCGUGGAUCAGAAUGCCACGGUGAAUACGUUCCCGGGCCUUGUACACACCGCCCGUCACACCAUGGGAGUGGGUUGCAAAAGAAGUAGGUAGCUUAACCUUCGGGAGGGCGCUUACCACUUUGUGAUUCAUGACUGGGGUGAAGUCGUAACAAGGUAACCGUAGGGGAACCUGCGGUUGGAUCAC
RNAcentral lists this ribosomal RNA (670 nucleotides) under Escherichia coli. Its description in RNAcentral is "bacterial SSU rRNA". It matches the Rfam family "Bacterial small subunit ribosomal RNA", at positions 856 to 1526 of the family's 1533-position model. The record is from RNAcentral. RNAcentral also lists the same sequence under 1 other name. Lineage: Bacteria; Pseudomonadati; Pseudomonadota; Gammaproteobacteria; Enterobacterales; Enterobacteriaceae.